Dreissena polymorpha is the source of this 556-nucleotide long non-coding RNA. RefSeq lists it as uncharacterized. NCBI's taxonomy places the organism in Eukaryota, Metazoa, Mollusca, Bivalvia, Myida, Dreissenidae. The record is from RefSeq and is a predicted model, not a curated record. The transcript is spliced from 3 exons.
GUUGACGGACAGGAAAAUUAAUUGGAACUUGGAUGUUUAAUAAGGACUUUAUGACACCAGUAUCGGUGCCGGCUGGGGAGCAAUUCUGGUUGCUGGGUAUGAUUGAAAAGCCGGCAAAGUUUUGCAAAAUGACAUCAACAAGUUUGUGGAAGUUAUAACAUCGAAAGUAAUGCCAGCAAUGUGUAUGAAUCCAGACAAUGUAAUAAUACUUGCCGAAGACGUGCAUGGCAUUACAGCUGAUAAACUGGAUGGGGCAUUUGAUGAUCUUUCCACAAAGGAUAUUCGAACAUUAUUGUUUGUUUACUCUGGACACCACGGUGAUUAUGGAUUUCAACUGGGCCCCAGGGUUACGAUUUGAAUAAAGUUAGCGAGAGAAUCAAUAAAUGGAACGAAGGGAAACCAAAGUUUGGGAAAGCGAUUGAAUUUCUUGACUGCUGUGUUCCUGACAAAUUGAAUUUGAAGAAUUCUCUCAAGCUUAUUCAGUUCAAUGCUACUUCUCCAACAAUGACUGAAGAUUUGGAUACAACAAAGGGCAGUCUCUUUUUGAUGUACGUUA